Molecule: ribosomal RNA, 95 nt
Filed under: Acanthosepion pharaonis
Lineage: Eukaryota; Metazoa; Mollusca; Cephalopoda; Sepiida; Sepiidae
Source: RNAcentral
AUACGGCCAUAUCACGCUGAAAACACCGGUUCUCGUCCGAUCACCGAAGUUAAGCAACGUCGAGCCUGGUUAGUACUUGGAUGGGUGACCACCAG